AUUGAGGAACAUGAUUAUCAGACCAAGUUCCGCAAUGUGGUCAAGUUCCUGGGCGAAGGCGAUAAAGUGAAGUGCUCCGUGCGUUUCCGCGGACGUGAGAUCACUCACGCGAAUAUCGGCCAGAAGAUCCUGGAGCGCGUUAAGAAUGAAGUGGCUGACAUAUCUGUUGUUGAGCGCCAGCCUAAGCUGGAAGGACGCAGCAUGAUUAUGAUUCUGGCUCCUAAGCCUCAAUAAUUCUGGAGUCACUUGCUUAGCAAUUUGGCGCCGCAUAAUAAUCAAGGAGGAAACACCAUGCCUAAAAUGAAAACACACAGCAGCCUGAAAGGCCGCUU
RNAcentral lists this unclassified non-coding RNA (332 nucleotides) under Paenibacillus typhae. Its description in RNAcentral is "Long range pseudoknot". The record is from RNAcentral. Lineage: Bacteria; Bacillati; Bacillota; Bacilli; Caryophanales; Paenibacillaceae.